Molecule: non-coding RNA, 68 nt
Organism: Dallia pectoralis (Alaska blackfish)
Lineage: Eukaryota; Metazoa; Chordata; Actinopteri; Esociformes; Umbridae
Source: the annotation of a GenBank genome assembly
GGUCCGGUGGUCUAGGGCUAGGCCACGGCCUAUAGGCUGUGGCGCCGGUUCGAUUCCGGCCUGCACAA